RNAcentral lists this ribosomal RNA (515 nucleotides) under uncultured bacterium. Its description in RNAcentral is "partial 16S ribosomal RNA". It matches the Rfam family "Bacterial small subunit ribosomal RNA", at positions 28 to 523 of the family's 1533-position model. The record is from RNAcentral.
GAUGAACGCUGGCGGCGUGCCUAAUACAUGCAAGUCGAGCGAAUGGAUUAAGAGCUUGCUCUUAUGAAGUUAGCGGCGGACGGGUGAGUAACACGUGGGUAACCUGCCCAUAAGACUGGGAUAACUCCGGGAAACCGGGGCUAAUACCGGAUAACAUUUUGAACCGCAUGGUUCGAAAUUGAAAGGCGGCUUCGGCUGUCACUUAUGGAUGGACCCGCGUCGCAUUAGCUAGUUGGUGAGGUAACGGCUCACCAAGGCAACGAUGCGUAGCCGACAUGGGAGGGUGAUCGGCCACACUGGGACUGAGACACGGGCCAGACUCCUGCGGGAGGCAGCAGUAGGGAAUCUUCCGCAAUGGACGAAAGUAUGACGGAGCAACGCCGCGUGAGUGAGGAAGGCUUUCGGGUCGUAAAACUCUGUUGUUAGGGAAGAACAAGUGCUAGUUGAAUAAGCUGGCACCUUGACGGUACCUAACCAGAAAGCCACGGCUAACUACGUGCCAGCCGCCGCGGUAA